Molecule: ribosomal RNA, 1397 nt
Filed under: uncultured bacterium
Lineage: Bacteria
Description: bacterial SSU rRNA
Rfam family: Bacterial small subunit ribosomal RNA
Source: RNAcentral
GAACGUACGCUGGCGGCACGCCUAACACAUGCAAGUCGAACGAAGUAGCAAUACUUAGUGGCAGACGGGUGAGUAACAUGUAGGUAUCUGCCCUUUGGCCUGGAAUAACACGAGGAAACUUGUGCUAAUACCGGAUAAGUCUUUACGGAGAAAGCUUUAUGCACCAUUGGAUGAGCCUGCACUUGAUUAGUUUGUUGGUGGGGUAAUGGCCUACCAAGACUGUGAUCAAUAGCUGAUUUGAGAGGAUGAUCAGCCACAUUGGGACUGAGACACGGCCCAAACUCCUACGGGAGGCAGCAGUGGGGAAUCUUGCACAAUGGAGGAAACUCUGAUGCAGCGAUGCCGCGUGAGUGAAGAAGGCCUUUGGGUUGUAAAGCUCUUUCGUCGGGGAAGAAAAUGACUGUACCCGAAUAAGAAGGUCCGGCUAACUUCGUGCCAGCAGCCGCGGUAAUACGAAGGGACCUAGCGUAGUUCGGAAUUACUGGGCUUAAAGAGUUCGUAGGUGGUUGAAAAAGUUGGUGGUGAAAUCCCAGAGCUUAACUCUGGAACUGCCAUCAAAACUUUUCAGCUAGAGUAUGAUAGAGGAAAGCAGAAUUUCUAGUGUAGAGGUGAAAUUCGUAGAUAUUAGAAAGAAUACCAAUUGCGAAGGCAGCUUUCUGGAUCAUUACUGACACUGAGGAACGAAAGCAUGGGUAGCGAAGAGGAUUAGAUACCCUCGUAGUCCAUGCCGUAAACGAUGUGUGUUAGACGUUGGAAAUUUAUUUUCAGUGUCGCAGCGAAAGCGAUAAACACACCGCCUGGGGAGUACGACCGCAAGGUUAAAACUCAAAUGAAUUGACGGGGACCCGCACAAGUAGUGGAGCAUGUGGUUUAAUUCGAAGAUACGCGCAGAACCUUACCAACACUUGACAUGUUCGUCGCGACUUUAAGAGAUUAAAGUUUUCGGUUCGGCCGGACGAAACACAGGUGCUGCAUGGCCGUCGUCAGCUCGUGUCGUGAGAUGUUGGGUUAAGUCCCGCAACGAGCGCAACCCUCACUUUUAGUUGCCAUCAUUAAGUUGGGCACUCUGAAAGAACUGCCAGUGAUAAGCUGGAGGAAGGUGGGGAUGACGUCAAGUCCUCAUGGCCCUUACGUGUUGGGCUACACACGUGCUACAAUGGUAUCUACAACAGGAAGCAAAACCGCGAGGUUUAGCAAAUCCUUAAAAGAUACCUCAGUUCGGAUUGCACUCUGCAACUCGAGUGCAUGGAGCUGGAAUUACUAGUAAUCGUGGAUCAGCGUGCCACGGUGAAUGCGUUCCCGGGUCUUGUACACACCGCCCGUCACACCAUGGGAGUUGGUUCUACCUUAAGGCAAGGUUUUAAACCCUUGACCACGGUAUAGUCAGCGACUGGGGU